RNAcentral lists this ribosomal RNA (1431 nucleotides) under uncultured organism. Its description in RNAcentral is "partial small subunit ribosomal RNA". It matches the Rfam family "Bacterial small subunit ribosomal RNA". The record is from RNAcentral.
AUGACGAACGCUGGCGGCGUGCUUAACACAUGCAAGUCGAACGGAAAGGCCCUGCUUUUGUGGGGUGCUCGAGUGGCGAACGGGUGAGUAACACGUGAGUAACCUGCCCUUGACUUUGGGAUAACUUCAGGAAACUGGGGCUAAUACCGGAUAGGAGCUCCUGCUGCAUGGUGGGGGUUGGAAAGUUUCGGCGGUUGGGGAUGGACUCGCGGCUUAUCAGCUUGUUGGUGGGGUAGUGGCUUACCAAGGCUUUGACGGGUAGCCGGCCUGAGAGGGUGACCGGCCACAUUGGGACUGAGAUACGGCCCAGACUCCUACGGGAGGCAGCAGUGGGGAAUAUUGCACAAUGGGCGGAAGCCUGAUGCAGCAACGCCGCGUGCGGGAUGACGGCCUUCGGGUUGUAAACCGCUUUCGCCUGUGACGAAGCGUGAGUGACGGUAAUGGGUAAAGAAGCACCGGCUAACUACGUGCCAGCAGCCGCGGUGAUACGUAGGGUGCGAGCGUUGUCCGGAUUUAUUGGGCGUAAAGGGCUCGUAGGUGGUUGAUCGCGUCGGAAGUGUAAUCUUGGGGCUUAACCCUGAGCGUGCUUUCGAUACGGGUUGACUUGAGGAAGGUAGGGGAGAAUGGAAUUCCUGGUGGAGCGGUGGAAUGCGCAGAUAUCAGGAGGAACACCAGUGGCGAAGGCGGUUCUCUGGGCCUUUCCUGACGCUGAGGAGCGAAAGCGUGGGGAGCGAACAGGCUUAGAUACCCUGGUAGUCCACGCUGUAAACGGUGGGUACUAGGUGUGGGGUCCAUUCCACGGGUUCCGUGCCGUAGCUAACGCUUUAAGUACCCCGCCUGGGGAGUACGGCCGCAAGGCUAAAACUCAAAGGAAUUGACGGGGCCCCGCACAAGCGGCGGAGCAUGCGGAUUAAUUCGAUGCAACGCGUAGAACCUUACCUGGGUUUGACAUGGAUCGGGAGUGCUCAGAGAUGGGUGUGCCUCUUUUGGGGUCGGUUCACAGGUGGUGCAUGGCUGUCGUCAGCUCGUGUCGUGAGAUGUUGGGUUAAGUCCCGCAACGAGCGCAACCCUUGUUCACUGUUGCCAGCACGUUAUGGUGGGGACUCAGUGGAGACCGCCGGGGUCAACUCGGAGGAAGGUGGGGAUGACGUCAAGUCAUCAUGCCCCUUAUGUCCAGGGCUUCACGCAUGCUACAAUGGCUGGUACAGAGAGUGGCGAGCCUGUGAGGGUGAGCGAAUCUCGGAAAGCCGGUCUCAGUUCGGAUUGGGGUCUGCAACUCGACCUCAUGAAGUCGGAGUCGCUAGUAAUCGCAGAUCAGCAACGCUGCGGUGAAUACGUUCCCGGGGCUUGUACACACCGCCCGUCAAGUCAUGAAAGUUGGUAACACCCGAAGCCGGUGGCCUAACCGUUGUGGGGGAGCCGUCGAAGGUG